Molecule: non-coding RNA, 71 nt
Organism: Phrynosoma platyrhinos (Desert horned lizard)
Lineage: Eukaryota; Metazoa; Chordata; Lepidosauria; Squamata; Phrynosomatidae
Source: the annotation of a GenBank genome assembly
GCCAACUUAAGAUAGGGGUUUGAGUGUUGGACUUUGACUCUGGAGACCAGGGUUCAAUUCCCUGCUUGGCC